RNAcentral lists this ribosomal RNA (319 nucleotides) under Anaplasma marginale. RNAcentral's name for it is "bacterial SSU rRNA". It matches the Rfam family "Bacterial small subunit ribosomal RNA", at positions 470 to 797 of the family's 1533-position model. Lineage: Bacteria; Pseudomonadati; Pseudomonadota; Alphaproteobacteria; Rickettsiales; Anaplasmataceae. The record is from RNAcentral.
UGGUACCUUUCCCAGAAGAAGUCCCGGCAAACUCCGUGCCAGCAGCCGCGGUAAUACGGAGGGGGCAAGCGUUGUUCGGAAUUAUUGGGCGUAAAGGGCAUGUAGGCGGUUUGGUAAGUUAAAGGUGAAAUACCAGGGCUUAACCCUGGGGCUGCUUUUAAUACUGCAGGACUAGAGUCCGGAAGAGGAUAGCGGAAUUCCUAGUGUAGAGGUGAAAUUCGUAGAUAUUAGGAGGAACACCAGUGGCGAAGGCGGCUGUCUGGUCCGGUACUGACGCUGAGGUGCGAAAGCGUGGGGAGCAAACAGAUAGACCAUCCCA